RNAcentral lists this transfer RNA (56 nucleotides) under Loigolactobacillus coryniformis subsp. coryniformis CECT 5711. RNAcentral's name for it is "Lactobacillus coryniformis subsp. coryniformis CECT 5711 tRNA". It matches the Rfam family "tRNA", at positions 1 to 53 of the family's 71-position model. Rfam says of the family: Transfer RNA (tRNA) molecules are approximately 80 nucleotides in length. Their secondary structure includes four short double-helical elements and three loops (D, anti-codon, and T loops). Lineage: Bacteria; Bacillati; Bacillota; Bacilli; Lactobacillales; Lactobacillaceae. The record is from Rfam by way of RNAcentral.
CGGGAAAUAGCUCAGCUUGGUAGAGCACCUGGUUUGGGACCAGGGGGUCGCAGGUU